GUACACUCCUACGGGAGGCAGCAGUGGGGAAUUUUGGACAAUGGGCGAAAGCCUGAUCCAGCAAUGCCGCGUGCAGGAUGAAGGCCUUCGGGUUGUAAACUGCUUUUGUACGGAACGAAAAAGCUCCUUCUAAUACAGGGGGCCCAUGACGGUACCGUAAGAAUAAGCACCGGCUAACUACGUGCCAGCAGCCGCGGUAAUACGUAGGGUGCGAGCGUUAAUCGGAAUUACUGGGCGUAAAGCGUGCGCAGGCGGUUAUGUAAGACAGAUGUGAAAUCCCCGGGCUCAACCUGGGAACUGCAUUUGUGACUGCAUGGCUAGAGUACGGUAGAGGGGGAUGGAAUUCCGCGUGUAGCAGUGAAAUGCGUAGAUAUGCGGAGGAACACCGAUGGCGAAGGCAAUCCCCUGGACCUGUACUGACGCUCAUGCACGAAAGCGUGGGGAGCAAACAGGAUUAGAAACCCGGGUAGUCCCAUG
RNAcentral lists this ribosomal RNA (477 nucleotides) under uncultured organism. RNAcentral describes it as "partial 16S ribosomal RNA". It matches the Rfam family "Bacterial small subunit ribosomal RNA", at positions 331 to 799 of the family's 1533-position model. The record is from RNAcentral.